UACGUAGGGGGCAAGCGUUGUCCGGAUUUAUUGGGCGUAAAGAGCGUGUAGGCGGCCAUGUAGGUCCGUUGUGAAAACUCGAGGCUCAACUACGAGUCGGCCAUGGAUACUCCUUGACUUGAGCACUGUAGAGGCAGAUGGAAUUCCGGGUGUAGCGGUGGAAUGCGUAGAGAUCCGGAAGAACACCGGUGGCGAAGGCGGUCUGCUGGGCAGUAGCUGACGCUGAGGCGCGACAGCGUGGGGAGCAAACAGG
Molecule: ribosomal RNA, 253 nt
Filed under: uncultured bacterium
Lineage: Bacteria
Description: partial 16S ribosomal RNA
Rfam family: Bacterial small subunit ribosomal RNA
Source: RNAcentral